This 763-nucleotide ribosomal RNA is filed under the name uncultured archaeon. RNAcentral describes it as "bacterial SSU rRNA". It matches the Rfam family "Archaeal small subunit ribosomal RNA", at positions 325 to 1089 of the family's 1478-position model. The record is from RNAcentral.
ACGGGGUGCAGCAGGCGCGAAAACUCCACAAUGCGCGCAAGCGUGAUGGGGGGACUCCGAGUGUUCCUCGAAUGGGGAACUUUUGUAGUAUGUAAAAAGUACUACGAAUAAGAGCUGGGUAAGACUGGUGCCAGCCUCCGCGGUAAAACCAGCAGCUCUAGUGGUAGUCGGUACUAUUGGGCUUAAAGCGUUCGUAGCCGGUCUAGUAAGUUCUUUGUGAAAUCCUUGGGCUUAACCUAAGGGCUGGCAAAGAAUACUAUUAGACUUGGAGCCGGGGGGAGGUUGAGGGAAUUUCUGGGGUAGCGGUGAAAUGCUAUAAUCCCAGGAAGACCUCCAAGGGCGAAGGCACUCAACCAAAACGGGCUCGACGGUGAGGGACGAAAGCUAGGGUAUCAAACCGGAUUAGAUACCCGGGUAGUCCUAGCCACAAACGAUGCGGACUAGGUGUUUCUUGAACUUCGAGUUCGAGAGGUGCUGAAAGGAAACUAUUAAGUCCGCCGCCUGGGGAGUACGGCCGCAAGGCUGAAACUUAAAGGAAUUGGCGGGGGAGCACCACAAGGGGUGGAGUCUGCGGUUCAAUUGGAUACAACGCCGGAGAACUUACCAGGGACGACGGCAUAAUGAAGGUCAGUCUGAAGGGCUUACUAGAAGAGCCGAGAGGUAGUGCAUGGCCGUCGCCAGCUCGUACCGUGAGGCGUGCGGUUAAGUCCGCUAACGAGCGAGACCUGUGCCUUUAUUUGCUACUCUUUUCGAUGGAAAAGGG